RNAcentral lists this unclassified non-coding RNA (329 nucleotides) under soil metagenome. Its description in RNAcentral is "partial contains 5.8S ribosomal RNA, internal transcribed spacer 2, and large subunit ribosomal RNA". The stretch from base 1 to 120 matches the Rfam family "5.8S ribosomal RNA", at positions 35 to 154 of the family's 154-position model. The record is from RNAcentral.
GAUGAAGAACGCAGCGAAAUGCGAUAAGUAAUGUGAAUUGCAGAAUUCAGUGAAUCAUCGAAUCUUUGAACGCACAUUGCGCCCUCUGGUAUUCCGGGGGGCAUGCCUGUUCGAGCGUCAUUAUAACCACUCAAGCUCUCGCUUGGUAUUGGAGUUCGCGAUCUCGCGGCUCCUAAAAUCAGUGGCGGUGCCUGUCGGCUCUACGCGUAGUAAUACUCUUCGCGAUUGAGUCCGGUAGGUUUACUUGCCAGCAACCCCCAAUUUUUACAGGUUGACCUCGGAUCAGGUAGGGAUACCCGCUGAACUUAAGCAUAUCAAUAAGCGGAGGA